RNAcentral lists this ribosomal RNA (106 nucleotides) under Candidatus Anoxychlamydiales bacterium. The record is from RNAcentral. Lineage: Bacteria; Pseudomonadati; Chlamydiota; Chlamydiia; Candidatus Anoxychlamydiales.
UUAGAGAGAGGGCUACACCCAAUCCCAUUCCGAACUUGGAAGUUAAGCCUCUCAUCGCCGAUGGUAGUGUGCACAAGAGUACGCAAGAGUAGGACGCUGCCAGCUU